AGGAAACAUUUGGGGUGCUGACUAGCUGAGAUUAUACCCAUUGAACCUGAUACAGUUAAGACUGGCGCAGGGAAAUGUCUGUGAUAUACA
RNAcentral lists this non-coding RNA (90 nucleotides) under Enterococcus asini. RNAcentral describes it as "TPP sequence". It matches the Rfam family "TPP riboswitch aptamer (THI element)". Rfam says of the family: Vitamin B(1) in its active form thiamin pyrophosphate (TPP) is an essential coenzyme that is synthesised by coupling of pyrimidine and thiazole moieties in bacteria. The previously detected thiamin-regulatory element, thi box was extended, resulting in a new, highly conserved RNA secondary structure, the THI element, which is widely distributed in eubacteria and also occurs in some archaea. Lineage: Bacteria; Bacillati; Bacillota; Bacilli; Lactobacillales; Enterococcaceae. The record is from RNAcentral. RNAcentral also lists the same sequence under 1 other name.